Molecule: long non-coding RNA, 274 nt
Filed under: Phoenix dactylifera (date palm)
Lineage: Eukaryota; Viridiplantae; Streptophyta; Magnoliopsida; Arecales; Arecaceae
Description: long non-coding RNA (PDAC_LNC021749)
Source: RNAcentral
GAAACGACAAACCUAGGGUUAAAAAGUUGGAUCCCGACUGCGAGUCGACUCCCCUGAGUCGCGAGUCGACUCGACCUCGAGUCGACUCCAGAAUAUGCGCGAGUCGACUCCCGACAGUGUGCGAGUCGACUCUCCCUCAGCUGCCAACUUUGCGAGUCGACUCCCGCAAAUGCGCGAGUCGACUCCCCCUUAGGAGCCGGCUCUGAAACUUACUCGAGUCGUCUCUAACCUUGGCACGCACCUAAAAACCAUGCCAUAAUCGUGCCAAAUGAGG